AACAAGAUUCGGGGUAUUCCAAGGGUGUUAAUAAACCUUCGCGAAGGGAGGACCGGCGCUUUUCAAGCUUUUCGUCGUACAACUUGACUUGUUUUUUGUACUCUCGGUAAUUGUUUGACGCUCCCUCGUUUUAUCCCGACCGUGUUGUGCGGUUUUCUUUUUCCUUAUUCACGGCAACCUUGCGCGAAACUUUGCGAAGCUGUUCUCAGCAGAAGUCAAAAUCUCUGGGGGUCGUCGAGCUCUGACACUUGUAAAAAGGCACUUAGAGCAAUUUACUUCCGGCGAAAGAUUCUCACCCGUUUUACAUUUAUUCGACAGUCCCCUCGAGAUUUACCGGGAUUAGAUAAAACUUGAAAGAAACAUUUCCUCCGGUUAAAUUGAGCGACGACACUGAACACCGCGUGGCAAAGAUCAGCGCUCCGCAUAUAGGCCGGCAUCGAGCCGACGGUAAAGCUCGCAACGGCGUGCGUCGCCUUGACGAAAAUAUCGCCGAAAGCGAGACGGAAGAAAAGAGAGAGAAAGAGAAACAGAGAGUGGACGACGUGCUCGGAAAGCUCGUCUAUGUCUGUACAAUGUUUGCAUUAGACAGUGUGCUUUCAAUGUUGAACCGGUGCGCGUUUCGUCAAGUUUAAAAGCCGCAAGCUCCCGAUUUCGAUUACCAGUCACGCUUAUACGCGUUUAAAAAAUGUAACUUGACCGGGUUUUUUUUCCUCACGAUCUUUUAAUCCGCUUCAACCAGUCAGCGCGCUGCAUGAGAAUUUGCAAGAUUUCACAAAUAGAACGGGUAUUGGCAAUGAAAGUAUUCAUAGCAUGGAAACGGUACGGAGGACGUAUCUUUGCGUCUUCUCCCGAUGUCAAGCGGCGACGAGAUUUAGCCACGUUCUAUUCUACGCUUGACGUGCGGUUGCGUUAAGAGUGUGCGAGGGUCUGGAAAUAACUCUAGGGAUUAAAAGAUGGCGACGUGGAGAACCGGCUGGAGACAAAUGAGAGAGUAACAAAUGAAGAUACAGAAACAGCAAUAACGUUUUAAAACGAAAAGCUCGGUUUUUCCGAGGUGACUAAAUGUCUCGACAGUGAAAAAUUUUUCAUCGUUGUGAACUAAUCGCGACAAUGAAUUGGCGAUCGGCAAGAGAGAACGUUUGGAGGUCACCGCUGAACUGGUGAGAGAGAGCGAAAAGUAGAUGGUCGGAGGCGGAGAGAAUGGUAGAAACAAGUGCGUGUAGAGUGAUAAACCGUUAACGUCAUCGAUUCUAGUCGAGUGAUCCGAUCGUCUGUCGGUUCUGCUGCAGCUCCUGAUUUAUCAACAAGGCGGACCUGCUUCCGUGACGAGUUUCCUUUCCUUACAUCGGCACCCCGACAUCGUGUACCAGAAAGAACACCACCACUCGAGUAUGCCAAACACUAUCACCUGGGGAGGUUUGGCGAACGUCGAGUGGUUGCGACGCAUAAAUACGGACGAGGAACGUUAUUAGGAAUCCAUAAUCAACAGGUCGGGCGUCCGACUCCAAGUCUGUUCAACAAGUCGGCCGUACCUGCUCAAACUUCGAUACCCCCGACGACGUUCGUUUUGGAAAAGCAAAUAAGGGCGAAAAAGCGAAUGAAACACACACAGCGACACCGACGACUAGCUGGGUUAUAAGUGCGGUGCACCCUCUAUCCGGCUCGAAACGACUUUGGAAGGGAAUUUCGGCAGAGGUGGUGCUACACCGGUUCGAGGAAGUAUACCCAACGGAUCUUGCACAACGUCUGGUGGGAAAUCUAAGGCUUAAAGGAAACUACACGUAUGUGCGGCGGACAGUGCGGCCUUGUAUGCGGAGUUCAGGGAACAAAGCUGAAAGGGUUUUGGAACCGGGACCGCAAGAAUUGUGGAAAAUCAUGACGUUUCAGAAAGCUGCGGCAAGAACGCCGGGAGAAGUGUAUACGAGUGGGAUGAGGCAAAAAAAAAAAAAAAAAAAUGAACGGAGCUUCAACGAGGGAAGUUUAGGCGACUUUUUUUACAA
Long non-coding RNA from Neodiprion virginianus, 2000 nucleotides. RefSeq lists it as uncharacterized. Lineage: Eukaryota; Metazoa; Arthropoda; Insecta; Hymenoptera; Diprionidae. The transcript is spliced from 6 exons. The record is from RefSeq and is a predicted model, not a curated record.